CCUACGGGAGGCAGCAGUAGGGAAUCUUCCACAAUGGACGAAAGUCUGAUGGAGCAACGCCGCGUGAGUGAAGAAGGGUUUCGGCUCGUAAAGCUCUGUUUGUAGGGAAGAAAGAUAGAGGUAGUAACUGGCCUUUAGUUGACGUUAAUUACUUAGAAAGUCACGGCUAACUCCGUGCCAGCAGCCGCGGUAAUACGUAGGUGGCAAGCGUUGUCCGGAUUUAUUGGGCGGAAAGGGAGUGCAGGCGGUCCAAUAAGUCUGAUGUGAAAGCCUUCGGCUCAACCGGAGAAUUGCAUCAGAAACUGUUGAACUUGAGUGGAGAAGAGGAGCGUGGAACGCGGUGUGUAGCGGUGGAAUGCGUAGAUAUAUGGCAGAACACCAGUGGCGAAGGCGGCUCACUGGU
This 403-nucleotide ribosomal RNA is filed under the name uncultured bacterium. RNAcentral's name for it is "partial 16S ribosomal RNA". It matches the Rfam family "Bacterial small subunit ribosomal RNA", at positions 338 to 733 of the family's 1533-position model. The record is from RNAcentral.